UUGAGCUCAGCAGUCAGACGUGCGAGACGCGAGUGUAAAAGCUGGGUUAUACUGUCACCCUUCAUCUGAAGUCCUGUUAUGGGAGCGUUUGGUGUGUGAAGGUUUUCAGGAGACUAUAGGCUUCUUGAGAUGGUGCUUCGGUGAGGAGUGUUGCUGCUUGAGGUUUCCCAAGGGGACGCUACUGAGAAGCUGGCUCACCAAGUCCCGACCCAGACUGCUGCUGCUCAUCGCCGGCUUGAAGAGGCCUCAGGUCACCCUCAUGCGCAGGAAAAGGAUGAAACGCACGAAAGUAGCAAAGGCCACGUAAGCGCACCUGCAGUCGUAUGCCGCAUUUCACUUGAGUCGCUUGACACAGAGAGAAGCUCCAUCUGCCGUCGACAUGAAUGCAGACCCAGAAACAGAGAAAGCAUCUCAGUCGCCUCUGCCAAACAUACGAACUAAACGCCAAAGCAGAAGCGGUGCAGAGUUUGUUGUGAAAAUGAGGGAUCUUCCACAAAGAUCCAGACCCCCCGACUAAGAUCCGGAGCCUCCCAGUGACAUUUGUUCAUCUUUCUCUCAAAUACACUUCUGUCAUGCUUCUGUUCACUACACAGCGUGUGACAGCACAUUAUUGCUCUUGCCUUUGCUUGACAGUGCUUUCCUUUCCUGUGUUCUCUGGUCAGGAUUUCAGGGACUUUUAUUUUUCGAUUCCUAAUGAUGUGUGUGGGUGAAAAAGAACAAGAAAAUUAUGAAAAAAUAAAGAAAAACAUAUAAUUGCCAUGAGCUAGUAACCAACAGCACACCGGUGGUUUAUUCAUACUGUCAAGCAGUCAGACUGACAGCUGAUGGUCCAUUACUGUAUCCUGAGGAGUAAAAUAAUUCAUUUAAAUGUCAAUAUCCAAUGAAAAAAAUGAAAAAAAAAAUUAUAAGAGUUAUAUCAAUCCAAAUGGACCAUUAUGUGGCCCCUUUAUCAUUUAAUCCCCCCAAAAAAAGAUCAUAGAAACAUGAUGGAGUAUUUAUAUAUAUAAUACUCCAUCAUGUAUAUAAAGAAUCAAGCAGCUAUUUGACGUAAUUUAUAACUAAUUGUUUUUUUAUUGAACACGUCCACAUAAUUGUUAAUAAAAAAAUUGAUUAAUAAUUGUUAGGCGAAUCUCAUGAAGCAUGUCAAGUCUGGCUCAAACAUCACACAAAAUCCAUGGUAAAAAUAAGAAAUUAUAUUUUGCAUUAAGAAAAUGACCAUAUUUUAGGACCAUUAGGAGUUUUGUUUAAAUAUUUUACCACACAUUUUACCCCAAAAUUAUCAUUACUAAAAGGAUUUUCUUUUUUCUCAAUAGUUAUUCUCAUUACAUUCUCAUUAUUAUUGUACAAUAAUAAAAUUAUAUAAAAACAAAAGCUAGCAAGUAUAAAUACACAUUAUUUUUAAUUAUUUUAAUUUUAUUUUCUUUAUGCAAAAU
Long non-coding RNA from Sinocyclocheilus grahami, 1433 nucleotides. The record is from Ensembl. NCBI's taxonomy places the organism in Eukaryota, Metazoa, Chordata, Actinopteri, Cypriniformes, Cyprinidae.